Molecule: ribosomal RNA, 253 nt
Filed under: uncultured bacterium
Lineage: Bacteria
Description: partial 16S ribosomal RNA
Rfam family: Bacterial small subunit ribosomal RNA
Source: RNAcentral
UACGUAGGGACCAAGCGUUGUCCGGAAUCAUUGGGCGUAAAGAGCGUGUAGGCGGCCUGUUAAGUCUUGCGUGAAAUCUCGGGGCUCAACCCCGAGCGGUCGUGAGAAACUGGCAGGCUAGAGUGCGGGAGAGGAGAGUGGAAUUCCUGGUGUAGCGGUGAAAUGCGCAGAUAUCAGGAAGAACACCCGUGGCGAAGGCGGUUCUCUGGGACGGUACUGACGCUGAGACGCGAAAGCGUGGGGAGCGAACAGG